RNAcentral lists this long non-coding RNA (932 nucleotides) under Olea europaea subsp. europaea. The record is from RNAcentral. Lineage: Eukaryota; Viridiplantae; Streptophyta; Magnoliopsida; Lamiales; Oleaceae.
GUUGACGUCUUCCUCCUAUUUGGAGGUAUGCCCUUAUUCAGAAUGUCGAGCAUUUCCACGUCCAAAUUGGGUUCACUGGCAAUUUCAGUUAUAAUCACGUUAAUAGUUCGGGGCUCCGAUUUUUGCAGAGAGUUUAAAUAACAUGCCCUGGAGCCCAUCUGGUCGCCUCGUACCGUAGCAAUCCCAUGUUCAGUUGGGAAUUUCUUACACAAGUAGCAGAUGGAGGUGACAGUCCAAAUAUUUCAAGGCGGGUCUGCCCAAUACUUCAUGGUAGGCUGAUUUGUGGUCUACCAUCAAGAAUUCCAUGAAGUGUUGGGCCACUAGAGGAGUUUAACCCAUCUUGAUAGGCAGAGUAAUCCGCCCUCGUAGGACGAUGCUAUCUCCAGUAAAUCCGAAUAGUGGAUCGGUCAUGGGGAUCAACCCAUGUUCAAUUUGCAUCUUGUCAAAGGUGGAGCCCAACAGUAUAUUCACCUAACUGCCAUUGUCGACGAGCAUGCGUUUGAGCCCGUUUCUUGACACUACGGCUCUCACAACCAAUGCGUCACAAUGGCGGUGGUGAACUCCUUGUGCAUCUUCCUGGGGAAAGGUGAUUGGAGUCAUUCUAUUGGCCUCUUGGGACUCGUUGACAAUGUAAGUGAGCAUUGGUGGGUCCUUUGCUUCCCUUGUGUAAUUCCUUUGGGUGUUCCUGGUGUUGCCACCAAUGUGAGGUCCCCCAAUGAUCGUGUCGAUCUCCCUGAUGAUUUGGCCUCCAGAAAAUGGGGCCUGAUCUCUCUGUCUGGACUCUCCUCGAUCCCUUGAUUCUCUUUUUCGAGGUGACUACUCUCUAUGCCUUCUCUCUCCCUUGUUUGGGAAGGCGAAUCUGCGAGGAUAUUCCUUUCUCCUGGAGGGAUGUGGGUCAUUCCGAUCAGAGCGUCGAGGAGCGUCUCUGCACU